This 472-nucleotide ribosomal RNA is filed under the name uncultured bacterium. RNAcentral describes it as "bacterial SSU rRNA". It matches the Rfam family "Bacterial small subunit ribosomal RNA", at positions 335 to 798 of the family's 1533-position model. The record is from RNAcentral.
ACUCCUACGGGAGGCAGCAGUAGGGAAUCUUCCACAAUGGACGAAAGUCUGAUGGAGCAACGCCGCGUGAGUGAAGAAGGGUUUCGGCUCGUAAAACUCUGUUGUUAAAAGAAGAACAUAUCUGAGAGUAACUGUUCAGGUAUUGACGGUAUUUAACCAGAAAGCCACGGCUAACUACGUGCCAGCAGCCGCGGUAAUACGUAGGUGGCAAGCGUUGUCCGGAUUUAUUGGGGCGUAAAGCGAGCGCAGGCGGUUUUUAAGUCUGAUGUGAAAGCCUUCGGCUCAACCGAAGAAGUGCAUCGGAAACUGGGAAACUUGAGUGCAGAAGAGGACAGUGGAACUCCAUGUGUAGCGGUGAAAUGCGUAGAUAUAUGGAAGAACACCAGUGGCGAAGGCGGCUGUCUGGUCUGUAACUGACGCUGAGGCUCGAAAGUAUGGGUAGCAAACAGGAUUAGAUACCCUGGUAGGAAAG